GACGACGCUGGCGGCGUGCUUAACACAUGCAAGUCGAACGGUGAAGGGGCCUGCUUUUGUGGGUCCUGGAUGAGUGGCGAACGGGUGAGUAACACGUGAGUAACCUCGCCCCCUUCUUCUGGAUAACCGCAUGAAAGUGUGGCUAAUACGGGAUAUUCUGGGUCUGUCGCAUGGUGGGCCUGGGAAAGAUUGCGCCUUUUUUGGUGUUUUUGGUGGGGGAUGGGCUCGCGGCCUAUCAGCUUGUUGGUGGGGUGAUGGCCUACCAAGGCGGUGACGGGUAGCCGGCCUGAGAGGGUGGACGGUCACACUGGGACUGAGACACGGCCCAGACUCCUACGGGAGGCAGCAGUGGGGAAUAUUGCACAAUGGGCGCAAGCCUGAUGCAGCGACGCCGCGUGAGGGAUGGAGGCCUUCGGGUUGUGAACCUCUUUCGCCAGUGAAGCAGGCCUGCCUCGUUUGUGGGUGGGUUGACGGUAGCUGGAUAAGAAGCGCCGGCUAACUAC
RNAcentral lists this ribosomal RNA (503 nucleotides) under uncultured bacterium. Its description in RNAcentral is "bacterial SSU rRNA". It matches the Rfam family "Bacterial small subunit ribosomal RNA", at positions 33 to 504 of the family's 1533-position model. The record is from RNAcentral.